GAUGAACGCUAGCUACAGGCUUAACACAUGCAAGUCGAGGGGCAGCGGGAAGUCAGCUUGCUGACUUUGCCGGCGACCGGCGCACGGGUGAGUAACACGUAUCCAACCUUCCCGUUACUCUGGAAUAGCCUUUCGAAAGAAAGAUUAAUACCGGAUAGUAUCGAGAGAUUGCAUGAUUACCCGAUUAAAGAUUCAUCGGUAACGGAUGGGGAUGCGUUCCAUUAGGCAGUUGGCGGGGUAACGGCCCACCAAACCUACGAUGGAUAGGGGUACUGAGAGGAAGGUCCCCCACAUUGGAACUGAGACACGGUCCAAACUCCUACGGGAGGCAGCAGUGAGGAAUAUUGGUCAAUGGGCGAGAGCCUGAACCAGCCAAGUAGCGUGAAGGAUGACUGCCCUACGGGUUGUAAACUUCUUUUAUAAGGGAAUAAAGUGGUCCACGUGUGGAUUUUUGUAUGUACCUUAUGAAUAAGCAUCGGCUAACUCCGUGCCAGCAGCCGCAGUAA
Molecule: ribosomal RNA, 506 nt
Filed under: uncultured bacterium
Lineage: Bacteria
Description: partial 16S ribosomal RNA
Rfam family: Bacterial small subunit ribosomal RNA
Source: RNAcentral